UGCGCAGGCGGUGAUGUAAGACAGAUGUGAAAUCCCCGGGCUCAACCUGGGACCUGCAUUUGUGACUGCAUCGCUAGAGUACGGCAGAGGGGGAUGGAAUUCCGCGUGUAGCAGUGAAAUGCGUAGAUAUGCGGAGGAACACCGAUGGCGAAGGCAACCCCCUGGGCCUGUACUGACGCUCAUGCACGAAAGCGUGGGGAGCAAACAGGAUUAGAUACCCUGGUAGUCCACGCCCUAAACGAUGUCAACUGGUUGUUGGGUCUUCACUGACUCAGUAACGAAGCUAACGCGUGAAGUUGACCGCCUGGGGAGUACGGCCGCAAGGUUGAA
This 330-nucleotide ribosomal RNA is filed under the name uncultured bacterium. RNAcentral describes it as "bacterial SSU rRNA". It matches the Rfam family "Bacterial small subunit ribosomal RNA", at positions 568 to 898 of the family's 1533-position model. The record is from RNAcentral.